This 460-nucleotide ribosomal RNA is filed under the name uncultured bacterium. Its description in RNAcentral is "partial 16S ribosomal RNA". It matches the Rfam family "Bacterial small subunit ribosomal RNA", at positions 338 to 795 of the family's 1533-position model. The record is from RNAcentral.
CCUACGGGUGGCAGCAGUGAGGAAUAUUGGUCAAUGGACGAGAGUCUGAACCAGCCAAGUAGCGUGAAGGAUGACUGCCCUAUGGGUUGUAAACUUCUUUUAUAUGGGAAUAAAAUGUUCCACGUGUGGGAUUUUGUAUGUACCAUAUGAAUAAGGAUCGGCUAACUCCGUGCCAGCAGCCGCGGUAAUACGGAGGAUCCGAGCGUUAUCCGGAUUUAUUGGGUUUAAAGGGAGCGUAGGUGGAUGGUUAAGUCAGUUGUGAAAGUUUGCGGCUCAACCGUAAAAUUGCAUUUGAAACUGGCAGUCUUGAGUACAGUAGAGGUGGGCGGAAUUCGUGGUGUAGCGGUGAAAUGCUUAGAUAUCACGAAGAACUCCGAUUGCGAAGGCAGUUCACUGGACUGCAACUGACACUGAGGCUCGAAAGUGUGGGUAUCAAACAGGAUUAGAUACCCUUGUAGUC